Molecule: RNA transcript, 872 nt
Organism: Odobenus rosmarus divergens (Pacific walrus)
Lineage: Eukaryota; Metazoa; Chordata; Mammalia; Carnivora; Odobenidae
Gene name: olfactory receptor 6V1-like
Exons: 1
Source: RefSeq, a predicted model, not a curated record
CUGUUUGCAUUCAUCCUAUUGAUAUAUGUGCUGACAGUACUGGGGAACCUGGCCAUUAUCAUCCUCACAUGACUUGAUUCCCGCCUCCACUCACCCAUGUACUUCUUCCUCUGCAACUUCUCCUUCAUGGAGAUGCUGGUCACUUCCACUGUUGUUCCUAGGAUGCUGGCAGACCUGCUAUGCACUCAUAAGACCAUUUCCCUGAGUGCCUCACCCAGUCUUUCUUUUACUUCUUUUUGGGUUCCACCAACUUCCUGAUUCUCACAGUCAUGGCCUUCAAUCGCUAUGUGGCCAUCUGCUGCCCUCUGCACUACCCAACCAUCAUGAAUGGUCCAGUGUGUGUGAAGCUGGUGGUGGUCUGCUGGGUGGUCGGCUUCCUCUCCAUCAUCUCCCCCAUCCUGCAGAAAACACGGCUACGGUUCUGCGGCCCUAACAUCAUCAGCCACUACUUGUGUGACUCUUCCCCACUUCUCAAGCUUUCCUGCUCCGAUACCUGCCACAUUGAAUGCACGGACUUCUUCUCGUCCUUACUGUUUGUGCUGGCCACCAUGCUGCUCAUCAUAGUGUCCUACAUCCUCAUUGUGGCUGCAGUGCUGCACAUCCCCUCCUUCUCUGGGUGCCAGAAGGCCUUCUCCACCUGUGUCUCCCACCUCACUGUGGUUGUUCUGGGCUAUGGCAGUGACAUCUUCAUCUAUUUGAGGCCAGGCAAGGGCCACUCCACACACCUCAACAAGGUGGUGGCUCUGAUGACUACAGUAGUGACCCCUUUCCUCAAUCUCUUCAUCUUCACCCUCUGGAAUGAGAAGGUCAAGGAGGUCAUUGAAGAUAUGACCAAAAGGCUCCUCUUCAGAGAUGCAGCAGUCCACAGAUGA